RNAcentral lists this non-coding RNA (23 nucleotides) under Arabidopsis thaliana (thale cress). Lineage: Eukaryota; Viridiplantae; Streptophyta; Magnoliopsida; Brassicales; Brassicaceae. The record is from RNAcentral.
AUAAUUCGACCAACAAAACCAAG